RNAcentral lists this transfer RNA (77 nucleotides) under Candidatus Hydrogenedentota bacterium. Its description in RNAcentral is "Candidatus Hydrogenedentes bacterium tRNA-Arg". It matches the Rfam family "tRNA". Rfam says of the family: Transfer RNA (tRNA) molecules are approximately 80 nucleotides in length. Their secondary structure includes four short double-helical elements and three loops (D, anti-codon, and T loops). Further hydrogen bonds mediate the characteristic L-shaped molecular structure. tRNAs have two regions of fundamental functional importance: the anti-codon, which is responsible for specific mRNA codon recognition, and the 3' end, to which the tRNAs corresponding amino acid is attached (by aminoacyl-tRNA synthetases). tRNAs cope with the degeneracy of the genetic code in two manners: having more than one tRNA (with a specific anti-codon) for a particular amino acid; and 'wobble' base-pairing, i.e. permitting non-standard base-pairing at the 3rd anti-codon position. The record is from RNAcentral. RNAcentral also lists the same sequence under 1 other name. Lineage: Bacteria; Pseudomonadati; Candidatus Hydrogenedentota.
GCGCCAGUAGCUCAGCUGGAUAGAGCAACGGCCUUCUAAGCCGUAGGUCACAGGUUCGAGUCCUGUCUGGCGCGCCA